Molecule: ribosomal RNA, 251 nt
Filed under: uncultured bacterium
Lineage: Bacteria
Description: partial 16S ribosomal RNA
Rfam family: Bacterial small subunit ribosomal RNA
Source: RNAcentral
ACGGAAGGUCCGGGCGUUAUCCGGAUUUAUUGGGUUUAAAGGGAGCGUAGGCCGGAGAUUAAGCGUGUUGUGAAAUGUAGACGCUCAACGUCUGCACUGCAGCGCGAACUGGUUUCCUUGAGUACGCACAAAGUGGGCGGAAUUCGUGGUGUAGCGGUGAAAUGCUUAGAUAUCACGAAGAACUCCGAUUGCGAAGGCAGCUCACUGGAGCGCAACUGACGCUGAAGCUCGAAAGUGUGGGUAUCGAACAG